RNAcentral lists this ribosomal RNA (1439 nucleotides) under Glyphus marsupialis. RNAcentral's name for it is "SSU rRNA". It matches the Rfam family "Eukaryotic small subunit ribosomal RNA", at positions 429 to 1804 of the family's 1831-position model. The record is from RNAcentral. Lineage: Eukaryota; Metazoa; Arthropoda; Malacostraca; Decapoda; Pasiphaeidae.
CAGGCACGCAAAUUACCCAAUCCCAGCUCUGGGAGGUAGUGACGAAAAAUAACAAUGCGGGACUCUUCCGAGUCUGCGUAAUUGGAAUGAGCACACUUUAAAUCCUUUAGCAACAACCAAUUGGAGGGCAAGUCUGGUGCCAGCAGCCGCGGUAAUUCCAGCUCCAAUAGCGUAUAUUAAAGUUGUUGCGGUUAAAAAGCUCGUAGUUCGAACUCAGUUCCGGACUGGCUGGGGAGGUCACCGCCCGGUGCUUCCCCGUCAGGCUCCGAACAGCUUUUAUGACUAAAAGCCAAGUCGGUUUCGCCGGGGUGCUCUUCACCGAGUGUCCCGCGCGGCCGGCCAGUUUACCUUGAAUAAAUGAGAGUGCUCAAAGCAGGCUACUCUUAAAAAUAAAGCCCGAAUGUUACCUGCAUGGAAUGAUGGAAGAUGAUCUCGGUUCCAUUUUAUUGGCUCUGGGAAUCCGAGUUAAUGAUAAACAGGGACAGUCGGGGGCAUCCGUACUACGACGCGAGAGGUGAAAUUCAGUGACCGUCGUAGGACGAACAACAGCGAAAGCAUUUGCCAAGAAUGUCUUCGUUGAUCAAGAACGAAAGUUAGAGGAUCGAAGGCGAUCAGAUACCGCCCUAGUUCUAACCCUAAACGAUGCUGACUAGCAAUCCGCCGUCGUUAUUCCCAUGACGUGGCGGGACGCUCCCGGGAAACCUUAAGUCUUUGAGUUCCGGGGGUAGUAUGGUUGCAAAACUGAAACUUAAAGGAAUUGACGGAAGGGCACCACCAGGAGUGGAGCCUGCGGCUUAAUUUGACUCAACACGGGAAACCUCACCAGGCCCGGACACCAGAAGGAUUGACAGAUUAAGAGCUCUUUCUCGAUUUGGUGGGUGGUGGUGCAUGGCCGUUCUUAGUUGGUGGAGUGAUUUGUCUGGUUAAUUCCGGUAACGAACGAGACUCUGGCCUGCUAAAUAGUCGACGGGUGUUUUGGUGCAUGGGCCCCGUUCGACAAUGUCUUCUUAGAGGGAUGAGCAGCGAGUAUAGCUGCAGGAGAUUGAGCAAUAACAGGUCUGUGAUGCCCUUAGAUGUCCUGGGCCGCACGCGCGCUACACUGAAUGGGUUAGCGGGUUCUCCUUCUCCGAGAGGAGCGGGAAAUCGCAUGAAAACCAUUCGUGAUAGGGAUUGGGGCUUGCAAUUGUUUCCCAUGAACGAGGAAUUCCCAGUAAGCGCAAGUCAUCAGCUUGCGUUGAUUAAGUCCCUGCCCUUUGUACACACCGCCCGUCGCUACUACCGAUUGAAUGAUUUAGUGAGGCCUUCGGACUGGCGGUCUUGGACUGGGUUCCAUUCGCUAUUCAACUCCAGCAAUGGGGGGCGGUGGACUCGCCAUGACGAGCCGGAAAGAUGUCCAAACUUGAUCAUUUAGAGGAAGUAAAAGUCGUAACAAGGUUUCC